This 664-nucleotide ribosomal RNA is filed under the name Nocardiopsis alba. RNAcentral's name for it is "bacterial SSU rRNA". It matches the Rfam family "Bacterial small subunit ribosomal RNA", at positions 229 to 888 of the family's 1533-position model. The record is from RNAcentral. Lineage: Bacteria; Bacillati; Actinomycetota; Actinomycetes; Streptosporangiales; Nocardiopsidaceae. RNAcentral also lists the same sequence under 1 other name.
UCGCGGCCCUUAUCAGCUUGUUGGUGGGGUAACGGCCUACCAAGGCGAUUACGGGUAGCCGGCCUGAGAGGGCGACCGGCCACACUGGGACUGAGACACGGCCCAGACUCCUGCGGGAGGCAGCAGUGGGGAAUAUUGCGCAAUGGGCGAAAGCCUGACGCAGCGACGCCGCGUGGGGGAUGACGGCCUUCGGGUUGUAAACCUCUUUUACCACUCACGCAGGCUCCGGGUUCUCCCGGGGUUGACGGUAGGUGGGGAAUAAGGACCGGCUAACUACGUGCCAGCAGCCGCGGUAAUACGUAGGGUCCGAGCGUUGUCCGGAAUUAUUGGGCGUAAAGAGCUCGUAGGCGGCGUGUCGCGUCUGCUGUGAAAGACCGGGGCUUAACCCCGGUUCUGCAGUGGAUACGGGCAUGCUAGAGGUAGGUAGGGGAGACUGGAAUUCCUGGUGUAGCGGUGAAAUGCGCAGAUAUCAGGAGGAACACCGGUGGCGAAGGCGGGUCUCUGGGCCUUACCUGACGCUGAGGAGCGAAAGCAUGGGGAGCGAACAGGAUUAGAUACCCUGGUAGUCCAUGCCGUAAACGUUGGGCGCUAGGUGUGGGGACUUUCCACGGUUUCCGCGCCGUAGCUAACGCAUUAAGCGCCCCGCCUGGGGGAAGUACGGGAA